UUGGGAGCUCUCCCAUAUGGUCGACCUGCAGGCGGCCGCGAAUUCACUAGUGAUUAGAGUUUGAUCAUGGCUCAGAGCGAACGCUGGCGGCAGGCCUAACACAUGCAAGUCGAGCGCCCCGCAAGGGGAGCGGCAGACGGGAGAGUAACACGUGGGAACAUGCCCUUCAGUUCGGAACAACCAAGGGAAACUUUGGCUAAUACCGGAUACGCCCUUACGGGGAAAGAUUUAUCGCUGAAGGAUUGGCCCGCGUCUGAUUAGCUAGUUGGUGAGGUAACGGCCCACCAAGGCUACGAUCAGUAGCUGGUCUGAGAGGAUGAUCAGCCUCACUGGGACUGAGACACGGCCCAGACUCCUACGGGAGGCAGCAGUGGGGAAUAUUGGACAAUGGGCGCAAGCCUGAUCCAGCCAUGCCGCGUGGAUGAUGAAGGCCCUAGGGUUGUAAAGUCCUUUUAACGGGGAAGAUAAUGACGGUACCCGUAGAAUAAGCCCCGGCUAACUUCGUGCCAGCAGCCGCGGUAAUACGAAUCGAAUUCCCGCGGCCGCCAUGGCGGCCGGAAGCAUGCGAC
This 569-nucleotide ribosomal RNA is filed under the name uncultured Alphaproteobacteria bacterium. RNAcentral's name for it is "bacterial SSU rRNA". It matches the Rfam family "Bacterial small subunit ribosomal RNA", at positions 1 to 559 of the family's 1533-position model. The record is from RNAcentral. Lineage: Bacteria; Pseudomonadati; Pseudomonadota; Alphaproteobacteria.